This 253-nucleotide ribosomal RNA is filed under the name uncultured bacterium. Its description in RNAcentral is "partial 16S ribosomal RNA". It matches the Rfam family "Bacterial small subunit ribosomal RNA", at positions 524 to 776 of the family's 1533-position model. The record is from RNAcentral.
UACGGGGGGGGUAAGCGUUGUUCGGAAUUACUGGGCGUAAAGGGCUCGUAGGCGGCCAACUAAGUCGGACGUGAAAUCCCUCAGCUUAACUGGGGAACUGCGUCCGAUACUGGAUGGCUUGGAUUUGGGAGAGGGAUGCGGAAUUCCAGGUGUAGCGGUGAAAUGCGUAGAUAUCGGGAGGAACAUCAGUGGCGAAGGCGGCUGCCUGGCCCGGUACUGACGCUGAGGUGCGAAAGCGUGGGGAGCAAACAGG